UACGUAGGUCCCGAGCGUUGUCCGGAUUUAUUGGGCGUAAAGCGAGCGCAGGUGGUUUAUUAAGUCUGGUGUAAAAGGCAGUGACUCAACCAUUGUAUGCAUUGGAAACUGGUAGACUUGAGUGUAAGAGAGGAGAGUGGAAUUCCAUGUGUAGCGGUGAAAUGCGUAGAUAUAUGGAGGAACACCGGUGGCGAAAGCGGCUCUCUGGACUGUAACUGACACUGAGGCACGAAAGCGUGGGGAGCAAACAGG
Molecule: ribosomal RNA, 252 nt
Filed under: uncultured bacterium
Lineage: Bacteria
Description: partial 16S ribosomal RNA
Rfam family: Bacterial small subunit ribosomal RNA
Source: RNAcentral